ACAGAGUAUACGAGCGGAGAUCG
This 23-nucleotide microRNA is filed under the name Triops cancriformis. RNAcentral describes it as "tcf-miR-10351". Lineage: Eukaryota; Metazoa; Arthropoda; Branchiopoda; Notostraca; Triopsidae. The record is from miRBase by way of RNAcentral.